UACGUAGGGUCCGAGCGUUGUCCGGAAUUACUGGGCGUAAAGAGCUCGUAGGUGGUUUGUCGCGUUGUUCGUGAAAACUCACAGCUCAACUGUGGGCGUGCGGGCGAUACGGGCAGACUGGAGUACUGCGGGGGAGACUGGAAUUCCUGGUGUAGCGGUGGAAUGCGCAGAUAUCAGGAGGAGCACCGGUGGCGAAGGCGGAUCUCUGGGCCUGUCCUGACGCUCAGGCGCGAAAGCUAGGGGAGCAAACAGG
This 253-nucleotide ribosomal RNA is filed under the name uncultured bacterium. RNAcentral describes it as "partial 16S ribosomal RNA". It matches the Rfam family "Bacterial small subunit ribosomal RNA", at positions 524 to 776 of the family's 1533-position model. The record is from RNAcentral.